AACGAACGCUGGCGGCAUGCCUAAUACAUGCAAGUCGAACGUGAUACUGUAGCAAUACAGUUGAAAGUGGCGAACGGGUGAGUAACACGUAAGUAAUCUGCCUUUAAGUUUGGGAUAACCUUGCCAACGCGGGGCUAAUACCGGAUGUGAUCGAGCGGACGCAUGUCUGUUUGAUUAAAGGAGUAAUUCGCUUAAAGAUGAACUUGCGGCCCAUUAGUUAGUUGGCGGGGUAACGGCCCACCAAGACCGCGAUGGGUAGCCGGCCUGAGAGGGUGUACGGCCACAUUGGGACUGAGAUACGGCCCAGACUCCUACGGGAGGCUG
Molecule: ribosomal RNA, 324 nt
Filed under: uncultured Fibrobacterota bacterium
Lineage: Bacteria; Pseudomonadati; Fibrobacterota
Description: bacterial SSU rRNA
Rfam family: Bacterial small subunit ribosomal RNA
Source: RNAcentral